Long non-coding RNA from Sander lucioperca (pikeperch), 211 nucleotides. RefSeq lists it as uncharacterized. The transcript has 2 exons. Lineage: Eukaryota; Metazoa; Chordata; Actinopteri; Perciformes; Percidae. The record is from RefSeq and is a predicted model, not a curated record.
AAGGCAAAUAUAAUUAAAUUAAAACCAACACAUUUAAAAGUUUGAGAUAGAAAAUUAAAAGAAAGCAAUCUAUCCAUGAUUUGGAUGGAGAGUGGAGUCAUGUGGGGUAGGCCUUUCAGAAUAGGUGGGUUUUGAGGAAGGUUUUAAAGGUGGGUAGAGACUCUAUGAUGUGUGCAUUUAUAAAUUAAAUUCCUCUGAUGGCAUCACUUUG